CUCGUAGGCGGUUCGUCGCGUCCGGUGUGAAAGUCCAUCGCUUAACGGUGGAUCCGCGUCGGGUACGGGCGGGCUGGAGUGCGGUAGGGGAGACUGGAAUUCCUGGUGUAGCGGUGAAAUGCGCAGAUAUCAGGAGGAACACCGAUGGCGAAGGCAGGUCUCUGGGCCACUACUGACGCUGAGAAGCGAAAGCAUGGGGAGCGAACA
This 207-nucleotide ribosomal RNA is filed under the name uncultured bacterium. RNAcentral describes it as "partial 16S ribosomal RNA". It matches the Rfam family "Bacterial small subunit ribosomal RNA", at positions 568 to 774 of the family's 1533-position model. The record is from RNAcentral.